GUGGUUUAACUAGAAGAAACGCGAAGAACCUUACCUGAGUAGGUCAUACCAUUGCGAUUUCCUUAUUCUGAGAGUUGUUGUGGGGGGCAGUGGUGGCAGGUUGUGCCUGGUUGUCGUCAGCUCGUGUCGUGAGAUGUUGGGUUAAGUCCCGCAACGAGCGCAACCCUUGUCUUUAGUUUCCAUCAUUAAGUUGGGCACUCUAGAGAGACUGACAGGGAUAUCCUGGAGGAAGGUGGGGAUGACGUCAAAUCAUCAUGCCCCUUAUGCUUAGGGCUACACACGUGCUACAUGGGGUAGUACAGAGGGUUGCAAAGCCGCAAGCAGGAGCUAAUCCCUCAAAGCUACUCGCCGUUCGGAUUGUAGGCUGAACCUCGCCUACAUCAUGCUGGAGUUACUAGUAAUCGCAGAUCAGAAUGCUGCGGUGAAUGCGUUCCCGGGUCUUGUACACA
This 449-nucleotide ribosomal RNA is filed under the name Clostridioides difficile. RNAcentral describes it as "bacterial SSU rRNA". It matches the Rfam family "Bacterial small subunit ribosomal RNA", at positions 941 to 1389 of the family's 1533-position model. The record is from RNAcentral. Lineage: Bacteria; Bacillati; Bacillota; Clostridia; Peptostreptococcales; Peptostreptococcaceae.